GUGGGGAAUUUUGGACAAUGGGCGCAAGCCUGAUCCAGCAAUGCCGCGUGCAGGAAGAAGGCCUUCGGGUUGUAAACUGCUUUUGUACGGAACGAAAAGGCUCUGGUUAAUACCUGGGGCUCAUGACGGUACCGUAAGAAUAAGCACCGGCUAACUACGUGCCAGCAGCCGCGGUAAUACGUAGGGUGCAAGCGUUAAUCGGAAUUACUGGGCGUAAAGCGUGCGCAGGCGGUUUUGUAAGACAGACGUGAAAUCCCCGGGCUCAACCUGGGAAUGGCGUUUGUGACUGCAAAGCUGGAGUGCGGCAGAGGGGGAGGGAAUUCCGCGUGUAGCAGUGAAAUGCGUAGAUAUGCGGAGGAACACCGAUGGCGAAGGCAAUCCCCUGGGCCUGCACUGACGCUCAUGCACGAAAGCGUGGGGAGCAAACAGGAUUAGAUACCCCGGUAGUCC
RNAcentral lists this ribosomal RNA (450 nucleotides) under uncultured bacterium. RNAcentral describes it as "partial 16S ribosomal RNA". It matches the Rfam family "Bacterial small subunit ribosomal RNA", at positions 354 to 796 of the family's 1533-position model. The record is from RNAcentral.